Molecule: long non-coding RNA, 99 nt
Organism: Sinocyclocheilus grahami
Lineage: Eukaryota; Metazoa; Chordata; Actinopteri; Cypriniformes; Cyprinidae
Exons: 3
Source: RefSeq, a predicted model, not a curated record
UUCUUGUUGCACUUAAAUUCUAACAAUUUAAUGAACUGCACAUGGAUACCGCUUGAGCGCUCAAACGUCUUCCUGGCUCCAUGAUCCGGAUGCUCUGAU